Molecule: long non-coding RNA, 2763 nt
Organism: Callithrix jacchus (white-tufted-ear marmoset)
Lineage: Eukaryota; Metazoa; Chordata; Mammalia; Primates; Cebidae
Source: Ensembl
AUGAACAUCUCUAUUUUCAGGAGCUACUGUGGAAUAGAAACCCCAGACUUCCAAAUAUGGUGCUUGUUAAGCAAAGCGAUUACAAAAUCAGGUCAAGAAAAAAAAAUCCCUUGUACCACGCAAUAUAAAAAGACAUGUCAGGUCAAGUGGCAAAGAGGACUGGUUUUAAAUGCAAGUUACCCACAUGAAGCAAUUAAGGAGAGAGAGAAAGUGAUAUGGAUUUUAAGGUGUGACAUGGGCCAAAUACAAGCGGAGGAGAAUUGACUAAGAUACGAACUGGUCUAGGAAAAUUUAAAUCCUACCUUUGGGAGCACACUUGGAUUAAUAUAUAUUUAUUGUAAUUCAUUAAAAAAUCCUUCUCUUCUCAGCUAUUUUAUUACGUUUGCAAUUUGCUUCUCUUUGCAGCCACAGAUAAACACCAAGAGCCAAUCUCAGAGGUAAAUUCUUGCCUAGGCCUCCUUUUUGCUGUCAGUGGGCUGUGUUGACUUAGAGCCCACUUUCAGAGAUGUAUUGAAAUUCCAUAUUAAGUUAAAGGAUGCUUUGUAAUGUUUGAUCUCUCUCCCAGAACAAACAGACCUGACACGGUCCAGGUAUCCCUCCCUCUUUUUCCUGAUGUCAUUUGUGCUUUCAGAUCUUCCCCUGCAGCGAUUGCUGUUGGUCAUCAGCUUGACUACUGGGGCAUUUCUAGAUUUCCACUGUAGCCUGAUUCUUGUGUGGUGUAGGAGGGAGGGAGAUUUCAAGACCCGGUCUUGGGAUAGCCUGGCUGGUGGAGCGGAGGUGCUGCCCUCCCUGUGCGUAGCUUGUGAAACACUCAGGAUCUGCUUCUCUUGCUCUUUCUGCUGGUGACUGAGGGAUGCUGGGUGGAUCAAGAAGAGCAGGCAGCCCCUCUUUAAGCCGCAUACCAAUUUCUUUAGGCAGAAACACAAGCCUUUCUCCAUCCCGUGCCCUCUCCUCCUGUGGCACAUUCAGGCAAUAAAGGGGAGCGAUGAAAUGCAACCUGUUGGUACUGGCACUUGCUCAAAGGCUGUAGCCUGAGUGGAGGCAGCUGACUGUGCUGGCACCUCCGCCUGGGCUUGGCAAGACCAGAGCGCAUUCCAUUCUCACCAUGGCCUGGAACGGGACCUGAUCGAAAGUGGCUAUAAAAUGAUGACAGGGAGAGGUAGGAACCAUGGCCCAGCAGAGGAAGGGGAGCAGGAGGAAGCACCGAGAACAGCCAUGCAGUUUAGAAAGGGUGAAAGACAGGGAAAUGUUAGGUGCUGGCAUUUCCUUUUCUUUGCUUCUUUUUUUCCUUUCUCUCUUUUGCUUGUUUCAGUCAGGUUGUUCUUGUGGGGGCAGAAAGCUGUGUAGUCAUCUUAGAGCUAUCUUAUCCUCUGAUUUAGUGGAUGCUUCUGCUUAACAAAUCAUUUCAUGCUACUUGCUGAUGGGGCUUUCAAAGGCAUGGCUUUGGGGUAACAAGCAAAAUUAGAAAUGAUCAGCAGUUAGGAGUGAUACUCAUGAUUUUAAUUGGCUAUGAUCAUUGUUGGCUGGGGAGGGCCUUUCAUGAUCUGAGAUAUCCUUUUAAUUUUGGAGAAAAUCAAGGAAAAGCAUUCAUUGAUAUGUUUUUUUUGUAGCUUUAUAACAUUUGAGAAGUUCUGAAUAGGAAAUAUCAAUGGAAAUUUACAAUUUUAUUGUUACUCAAUGGUUCUCAAAGUUCAGUGUGCACAAAAUUACCCAGGGAGUCUGGAAAAUGCAGAAUUCUGGGUCCUAUCCCCAGAGUUUGGAAUCCAAUAGAUUUGGGUGGGGUCUCCAAAUUCAAUUUUUAACAAACUCCCAAGUUACCCUGAUGCAGGUGGUAGGGAUCAUGGUCUGAGGAAAACUAGAUAUAUGCCCAGACUUCUUAGCGAAUUAUGUCCUCAUUAGCUCGAGGGCCAACCAACCCCUCCCCAUGUGUUCUCAUUUGAUAUAAUUUUCUCCAAGCCAGCAGUUGUGUUUUCAUGCAGCCCAGGAAGGAGGCUUCUGAUAGUGCAGUGUAUCACCUGCAUUGUUCUUUUCAGAGCUUUUGGUCUUAGGUUUAUUCCCAGUACAAAGAUUGAAGGAUGAUCUGAAAUCAAAUACAUUUGUCUGGGAGUGGAAUGUCUGUUAGAUCCAGGUGUUGAUUUCCUUGAGCUUGAGUUCUCAGUAAAUGUCUUUCCAGUGAGAAUUCCAAUCAAGAUUCUAAAGGUUAUAUGAAAUAGGCUUGAUUUCUGGGCUUCCUCCAGGGAGAUAGCUUAAUUUUUAUAAGCAAAAUUAACUCACCACCACGGCUUGUUUUGUAAUCAGCACACGGUUCAUAUUUUAGGAUAAAAUGCUAUGUUGAUUAGUGUGUGAAACAGGUGAUCCAGAAAAUAUCUCUGUGCUGAGAAUCUUUAAGGAAGAAAUAUUUGCACUCUGGAGGAUGAAAAGAUAGCAAAACAAAAUCUAGGCAGAACUGAAGGGAAGGAAGCUCCGCUAGGAGAGUUGCUCGAUUUCUACGAGUGCGCUCACGUUAUUCGAACACCAGGGGGCAGCAUUGCACUUUGUUUGGAAAACAGUCUCUGUGGCACGCAGCCCUUUAAAGGAAAAGAACUUCUAAGUGAGCAAAGCUAAAAACCAGAACAUUAGCAAGAACCAGAAAACCAACAACACAGAACCCAAACUCUCUUUGUUAUAAUGUGCCUGCUAAGUCAGACACAUUAUUUUCUUGGUACACAGGUUUUAAUAUUGUAGUAUUAAGACUCUCCAGGGCAUACUUUCUCGGUCCAUUAA